RNAcentral lists this transfer RNA (75 nucleotides) under Streptomyces bacillaris. Its description in RNAcentral is "tRNA-OTHER". Lineage: Bacteria; Bacillati; Actinomycetota; Actinomycetes; Kitasatosporales; Streptomycetaceae. The record is from RNAcentral. RNAcentral also lists the same sequence under 1 other name.
GGUGGCCGCGGGAAAGAUGCGCGGACUGUAAAUCUGCCGGCUCAGCCUACCCAGGUUCGAACCCUGGCGCCGCCA